GUGCCAGCCGCCGCGGUAAAACGUAGGACACGAGCGUUAUCCGGAGUUACUGGGCGUAAAGGGCGUGCAGGCGGUCUUGUAAGUCAGGCGAGAAAGGCCCCGGCUCAACCGGGGACAGACGCUUGAGACUGGAAGACUAGAGGAUGGUAGAGGCGUGUAGAAUUCCGGGUGUAGUGGUGAAAUGCGUAGAUAUCCGGAGGAAUACCAGUGGCGAAGGCGGCACGCUGGGCCAUAACUGACGCUAAGACGCGAAAGCAUGGGUAGCGAACGGGAUUAGAAACCCCUGUAGUCC
This 292-nucleotide ribosomal RNA is filed under the name uncultured bacterium. RNAcentral describes it as "partial 16S ribosomal RNA". It matches the Rfam family "Bacterial small subunit ribosomal RNA", at positions 505 to 796 of the family's 1533-position model. The record is from RNAcentral.